This is a small nucleolar RNA of Coffea eugenioides, 107 nucleotides long. The record is from RefSeq and is a predicted model, not a curated record. NCBI's taxonomy places the organism in Eukaryota, Viridiplantae, Streptophyta, Magnoliopsida, Gentianales, Rubiaceae.
AUUUGAUGUUGGGGACAACUUGUGCUCAAUUUUUUGAAUCUCUCCCAGUACUCAUAAAGGGACUCUUCAUGGCUCUGUUUGAUUCCACAGAUCUCUUUUUGCAAGCU